UUAACUACAAACAUUAAAUUAUAUGCAUUUAUUUUGUCCUCACAUUCUUUCUUGUAACUCAUCCCUCUCAGUGACACAGCUGACUGAAUGGCUCAUUAUGCAGCUCAUUAUGCAGGCCUUUGUCUUCUCAGGUGUGAAUUCAUGAUAGUUGACGCCUACUCGCAUAUGACUUUUACCAACAAAAAGUGUCUUAGAAAAUUUAAAUCAAUAUAUUGUUUUCUGUAAGUGAGUAAACAAGAUGAUUUUCACAUCAUUUAGAAAAAAAAAAUUCUAGGCUACAAGCUCCAGUUCUCAAAAGUCCCCGGAACCAAUUUUCUGUAUGUGUUUUAUUGCCUUUUUCAAGUGAUUUAACAUUUUUAGUUUUUCACUAACCACGCAUAACAUUUUUUUUCUCAAAAACACAAUCAUGUACAUACAUGCUGCUCACAUAUUAUCAUAGCCCAGUUUGUGCUGAUUACAGUGAGAUUAGACUUUAGCCAUUUAGAUAUUUAUAAGAAACUGAAAAAAGCACAAAUGUCAGGGCAUGACAAAACUUCUCCAGGCCCCAAAAAUACCCUUAGACUCCAGAGGGUUAAAUCGAUUUGAACUAGCGUCUAUGACCCAUAGACCGAUGGCCUGGUCGAACGAUUUAAUCGCACCUUUAAAUCCAUGAUCCGUAAAUUCGUUCAAGAAGACGCCAAGAAUUGGGAUAAGUGGCUAGAGCCCUUGUUAUUCGCUGUGCGAGAGGUCCCACAAGCCUCCACAGGGUUUUCCCCCUUUGAGCUUCUCUAUGGACGCCAGCCCCGAGGGGUGCUGGAUGUACUGAGAGAAACUUGGGAGGAGGGGCCAUCUCAGGGCAAAAAUGAAAUUCAGUAUGUGCUGGACUUGAGAACAAAACUCCACACUUUGGAGCGGCUAUCAAUGGAGAAUUUGUUACAAGCCCAGGACUGCCAAAGCCAGCUAUAUAACAGGGGAACUAGAUUACGCUAAUUUGCACUGGGAGAAAAAGUACUUGUAUUACUCCCAACGUGGAGCUCUAAGUUAAUGGCUAAGUGGCAGGGACCGUUUGAGGUCACACGACAAGUCAGAGAUCUCGAUUAUGAAGUAAUACGGUCCGAUAGGAAUGGGGCACGUCAGAUCUAUCACCUCAACCUCCUAAAAAAAUGGAAUGAGGCGGAAUCAGUGAUGUUGGCAACGGUGAUUGGAGGGGAGGAGGAUCUCAGACCAGAGGCGAAUGUCAAACCACAAUCCCUCGCCCUGGCCCCAGGGGGAGAUCACCUCUCGCCAUCCCAACUCACUGAUCUAACAAAAUUACAGGCCGAGUUUGCCGACGUCUUCUCACCCCUACCGGGCCUUUACCCAGGUAAAGGCUGCCCUGUGUGGCGGGCCGUUGUUACACUCUCCUGAUUUUUCUCUCCCUUUUCUGUUGCAGACGGAUGCGUCGGACAGAGGGCUGGGUGCAGUCCUGUCCCAGAAGAUGGAGGGGGAGGAACGGCCGGUGCUGUACACCGGAGGGAGAGAGAGGCUAAGUACAGCACCAUAGAGAAAGAGUGCCUUGCCAUCAGAUGGGCCGUCCUCACCCUCCGCUACUAUCUCCUGGGACGGGAGUUCACCCUCUGUUCGGACCACGCUCCUCUGCAGUGGCUCCACCGCAUGAAGGAUACCAAUGCGCGGAUCACUCUUUGGUAUCUGGCUCUACAGCCUUUUAAGUCCAAGGUGAUCCACAGGCCGGGUGUUUAGAUGGCGGUGGCCGACUUCCUCUCCAGAAAUGGGGGGGAGGGGGCUGCAGGCCGGAUGGCUCCCCGGCCUGAGUCGGGCGGUGGGGGUAUGUGGCAGGGGGGGCAUGGUUUAGCGAAGUCUGCAGCGGGAGAGAGAAUCAGGAGACGAACGGUAAGUGAGUGGUUUGGGCAGAGACGAGCAACACCUGUCUCUUGUUUCAGUAAUUGGCGUGGAGAGAGUAUAAAACGCCAGGAGAAACAGAAGCAGUGGAGAGAGAGACAGACUGCUGACGUACCCCAGAACCGGAAGAAGUCACCCGGAAGUGUUAUGCGAUCGUGUCUGUGUUGAUGUCAGAGUAAAAGUCACCGUUGGUGUAAAGUUAUUUUUGUUACUUGAAUAAAAAUAUGUCAGCAGUCCCUUUGUCCUCUUCCUUUCCUCACACGAACUUACUACACUCCAAUAAUAGUCAGUAAGAAAACAAACAGACAGAAAUCAGUUUGGAGAAGAUCAACAGCAUUUCAGAAUAUGAAGACAAUGCAGAAAAGUCGAGCGGAUGUGGCGGAAGACGAAACUUGAAAUUCACUAUAGCAUCUAUAAAGACAACCUUCAUGCUUUUAAUGUGAAACUAGCCACAGCUAGACAGAAUUUCUUCUCAAACCUUAUAAACAGUAACUUAAACAACACUCGUACUCUUUUUGCCACUGUUGAGAGACUGACAAACCUCCCAAGACAGAUUCC
Cyprinus carpio carpio is the source of this 2436-nucleotide long non-coding RNA. NCBI's taxonomy places the organism in Eukaryota, Metazoa, Chordata, Actinopteri, Cypriniformes, Cyprinidae. The record is from Ensembl.